Molecule: unclassified non-coding RNA, 845 nt
Filed under: Hevea brasiliensis (rubber tree)
Lineage: Eukaryota; Viridiplantae; Streptophyta; Magnoliopsida; Malpighiales; Euphorbiaceae
Source: RNAcentral
AAUGAUACUGUGCAAAAAAAAAAAAAAAAGCUUUAAUCAAGCAUAUUUUUGGGCAAUCUCACAGAGACGAUCACACAACUCUUUUGGUUUACAGAACAUAGGCAUAUGAUCAGAACCUUCAAUCUUUAUCACUUCUUCAACAGUAUAAUUUGAAAUCAUCCAUUGCUGAAACUCCAGUGGAAUUCCUUUGUCCUCUUCGCAGAUGACAUAUACUCGGCUAACUGAUCCAUACCCUUCCUUAGAGAAAUUUUUUGCGUUGGACAAAUCGUGUAGGAACAGUGAUGAUGGCCUCACCAAAGCCUUUGCCAAUUCAAGAUCCUCAAUGGGACUUAGAUGAUAGAGCUCGGAGGAUAUGAAUUUUGGGCCAAAAAACAUUGAAGUUUGAUGCUGAAGAGAGGUGCUGUAGGGUAAAAAUUCCGUGUCCAGCCAUGCUUCGCUUGGGGUCCUUUCGUUGUACUGAUCCAAGAUAUAUGAUGGCUGGUGGACAGUAUCCGGCAUGAAAGCUGUUAAGUAAACAGCAACAGAAAUUUUCUCAGGGAAUUUCUCCAUCGCAAGAGCCAAAUUCAGGCCUCCAAGGCUGUGCCCAACAAGGGUAACCCUUUCAUUUGGUGGCAGAGAAGCCAACAACUCUAACAGAGGCUGAGUGUAUUCAGAAAGUGUGUGAACUUCUUGGAUUGGCUUCAUGUGGAUGCCGGAAGCCGCCAAGUCGAGUGCCGUGACCUGGUGGCCGGUGGUCUCUAGCAGUGGCUUGAGCUUGUACCAACUCCAUGCCCCAUGGCCGGCCCCGUGGACUAGAACAAAAUGCUUUUGUUGAUGGAGCUCAAUAACCAUUUUUGGCGGAUGGC